Molecule: non-coding RNA, 78 nt
Filed under: Tardiphaga robiniae
Lineage: Bacteria; Pseudomonadati; Pseudomonadota; Alphaproteobacteria; Hyphomicrobiales; Nitrobacteraceae
Also listed under: 1 other name
Description: Rhodopseudomonas sp. R-45977 Fluoride riboswitch aptamer (crcB RNA motif)
Rfam family: Fluoride riboswitch aptamer (crcB RNA motif)
Source: Rfam by way of RNAcentral
AAACGACACGGUAAUGGAUUCUGCCGGGCCAUCGUGGCCGAACCGCUUCCGAGAGAAGCUGAUGACUCCUACUCAACU